Ziziphus jujuba (common jujube) is the source of this 2962-nucleotide long non-coding RNA. RefSeq lists it as uncharacterized. The transcript is spliced from 4 exons. Lineage: Eukaryota; Viridiplantae; Streptophyta; Magnoliopsida; Rosales; Rhamnaceae. The record is from RefSeq and is a predicted model, not a curated record.
AUUAAUUGACACAUUUUGUUCUUGGUCUAGAUUACAGCCAAACUGUGGAAAAGGGGAAAAAAAUAAUAAUAAUAAUAAAAUAAAAUUGCAUUUCUAUUCUUAUAUUUUUCAAUUUUUUGUCUAAGCUCCAACCAACGUGUCUUAUAAGGCAGUGUUUGGUACGCAGGAUUGGCCAGGUCAGGACAGAACUGUGUCCCAACACCGUGUUUGGAAGACAAUUUUGAGAACUGGACAAGUUGUCCCAAGAGGUCAUGUUGUCUCACUCGAAGAGGACUCAAGUUACCUGUCUCUCCCCUUGGGUCUCACCUGUCCCAAACUCGCUGAGGCAGCUCUCCCCUUUCUCACUGGAUUGUGUCAACAAUCGAAGCAGCUCUUUUCUCUCUCACUGGAUCGUAUUGAUCGUGUCUCUCGUUGGACCUCUACAUCUCUUCGAGUAACAAACACGACCGAUGAGAUUUUGAUACGCAAAAUUAGGGCUUCGAUUUGCAAGGAUAAAGGCUAAAUUUGGAAGGCUUAGCACUUGAUUAAGGAUAGCCACCUGAAAUCACCGAGAAUUCGGAAGGCAACUUUUCGUUGGUUUUUCCACAUGGUUUUUUGGAAGUUGUUGUAGUAAGCCCUAAUUUCUUUACAAAAAAAUCUCUACUUGAAUUGGAUCUGUUUGCAAGGUUUAGUAUGAAUUUCUAUGACUCAUCAGCUCCCCUUAGCAAAUUCAGUGUGAGAGAGAGAGAGAGAGAGAGAAAGAUACGGUAGAUUGGUGAUUCUUCAGAUUCAUGGUGUAAUCUGUUUCACACACUCUCUCUAAAAGUAUAAAACUAGUUUAUGAGUGUUUUCGUUCUUUCUAAUUUCUUUGUUUUGUAGAUCUAUGUUGUUUGAAAUGUUGUAAUUGGUUGACAUUUUUUUUUUUUUUUGUGGAAUUACAAGGUUUGCUUUUGUUGUCAAAAAAGUAUUUUGCGGAUCUUGGCAAUUAUCCUUUGAAUUCUUGUUUAUGUUUUGGUUUUUUUUUUUUUUUUUCAAUUAAAGAGAAAUUAGAUUUUCUGUAUAUGUUUAUGCACAAUAUAUGUUUGUAUGUAUCUAUCUUGGGUGAAGUCACUGGAGGCAAGGGUUUAUCGAUCUCUUCACUUUUUAAAAAAAUAAAAAAUAUAACCAAUCCAAUUCAAUCCUAUAUAAAAUAUUGAACAAUUAAUUUACUAUUCAGUUCGAAAUUAUAUCAAAUACAAAAUUAUAUUAUUUUAAUAUGUCAUCCGAUCUACAUAUGUCCUACAUACCCAACAUAAGCCGUUAUCAAUAUAUAUAUAUAUAUAUAUAUAGAAUAAUGCCACAUCGUCAACGUGGCUACUUUUAUCAUUACAGGGUUUUUUUUUUUUUUUUUUUUUGAUAAAGAAUAUGUUAUACUUUAAUAAGUAGGGUCAUUGGUGAGUAAAGUUGUGGUAGGAAAUGUGGCAACUUUAUGUUAGUCCUUUCGAUUUUAUUUCAUUGAAGUUGUUGACACAACGGACAACUUCGGAUCUUCUGAGGAUGUUUUUAUGGCCACGUAUGCUAUGCGUCACGUGAUUAAUUGCUUUGACUGUCUAACUAGUGGAGAAAAAAAGAUCGUUUAUCUUUACAAUUACAUCUGGGAAAUAAACUAAAAGUAUUGCCAAUAAAAUAAAAUAAACAAAUAAAAGGAAAGGAAAAAAAAAGUUAUCGAGAGAAAAUGAAAUAACACUCCCCCAUAGUGAAUAAAGGUUUAAGAAGUCGUCUUCAGCUUAAAAAAACAAUUAAAAAAAAAAAAGUGUUUACGGAGUUGGAAAAAUAUGAUCAAUUAUGAGCUGACAAAAAGAAAAUGGACCCCCCAAAAAAAAAAAAUGUCAAUUAUAAACUAUUUUUAACACAAUGGCUGGAAAUGCAGGCCCAUUUUCCAGAACUUCCAGCCCAAGAAGAUUGGAUCAAAAGGAUCUCAUAAAAGACUCACAUAGAAAAGUGGAUCAAAGCCCAAUAGGCCCGCUCUUUCUCCAAUUAUAUGAAAUGGAAAACUAUUUUAAAUAUAGGGUAAUUUGGCCCAAUGUUCUUUUUUCAAGGCCUUUAAUGAAAUAUGCCCCUCAUUUCUUGGUUUUUUUUUAUCUGCCCUCUGCUUCCUAUUUUAUCCCCAAUGAAAGUAAAAAAUUACUUUACUUUCCUUUCUUCAUUCCUUCAGUCCAAAAAACCCACAGUCUUUAGUUUCUGCACUCGGCUUUUCUAUUUUUCUUCAUCCCCCAGAAAACCCACACACAAUCUCAUUAAGAAAAAAAAAAAAAUCCAUGCUCCAUCUCCGUGCAUCUCUUACCUCUUCUCUUGCAAACAUAUGAAAGACUAAGGAAAAAUUGCGUUUGAGGUGAGCGGUAGUUUUGCAGAGGAGCUUCACUUGGAAAGCUUGCAACAUCAAAUAGAAAGUGAUCUUAUGCCAAGUGCCCGAUGUGACCAAAGUGAUUCUUAUGUGGCAAGGGAUUGGAAUGAGCUAUGGGUGACAAACUGUGGCAAUGAGACAAAACUCCUAAGUGGAUCAGUUAUCGAGGUGGAUUGCCCAAGGCAUUAUAUGUGGUGAAAGAUGUAUUAAUUGGAAUGAGAAAACAUGUUCAUCUGCUGGAUAUAACAACUUUAUCACAACUUAGAAAAGAUGGACAUCUUGGCUUUUAUAAUGGCUUUAGGCGCAUGGACUAUAACCAUUGGUGUAUUGCUGGACUUCCAAAUACUUGGAAUCAACUUUUUAUGCAUUCAUCAUAAUUGUCAUGCUUGUUAUGGUAUUUUUAGUUUAUAAAAAUGAUCAUACGGUUGCUUAGGUCCUUCCUUCCAUAGAUCACCAUUUUUAAGGGAAUCAAGUUUCAAAACACGACCGAUCUUUUCAUUUUCAAUGUCAACCAGAUAUUGAGAGUUAAACAUCAUUAAUGAAACUCUACAAUCCUGCAUAAUUUAGAGUAUUUAAUAUAUUCAUAAUUUGAACCAUAAA